Molecule: ribosomal RNA, 492 nt
Filed under: uncultured bacterium
Lineage: Bacteria
Description: partial 16S ribosomal RNA
Rfam family: Bacterial small subunit ribosomal RNA
Source: RNAcentral
AGUGAACGCUGGCGGUAGGCCUAACACAUGCAAGUCGAACGGCAGCACAGUAAGAGCUUGCUCUUACGGGUGGCGAGUGUCGGACCGGUGCGGAAUACAUCGGAGUCUACUUUUUAGUGGGGGAUAACGUAGGGAAACUUACGCUAAUACCGCAUACGACCUACGGGUGAAAGCAGGGGAUCUUCGGACCUUGCGCGAUUGAAUGAGCCGAUGUCGGAUUAGCUAGUUGGCGGGGUAAAGGCCCACCAAGGCGACCAUCCGUACCUGGUCUGAGAGGAUGAUCAGCCACACUGGAACUGAGACACGGUCCAGACUCCUACGGGAGGCAGCAGUGGGGAAUAUUGGACAAUGGGGGCAAGCCUGAUCCAGCCAUACCGCGUGGGUGAAGAAGGCCUUCGGGUUGUAAAGCCCUUUUGUUGGGAAAGAAAAGCAGCAGGUUAAUACCCCGCUGUUCUGACGGUACCCAAAGAAUAAGCACCGGCUAACUUCGUG